Molecule: ribosomal RNA, 188 nt
Filed under: uncultured bacterium
Lineage: Bacteria
Description: partial 16S ribosomal RNA
Rfam family: Bacterial small subunit ribosomal RNA
Source: RNAcentral
CCUACGGGAGGCAGCAGUGAGGAAUAUUGGUCAAUGGGCGAGAGCCUGAACCAGCCAAGUCGCGUGAGGGAAGACGGUACUAAGUAUUGUAAACCUCUUUUGUCAGGGAACAAAGAGACCACGUGUGGUAAGAUGAGUGUACCUGAAGAAAAAGCAUCGGCUAACUCCGUGCCAGCAGCCGCGGUAAU